Molecule: long non-coding RNA, 1237 nt
Organism: Aquila chrysaetos chrysaetos
Lineage: Eukaryota; Metazoa; Chordata; Aves; Accipitriformes; Accipitridae
Exons: 2
Source: RefSeq, a predicted model, not a curated record
CUGUGAGGAGCUGGGCUGGUGGCUGCAGCAGGGAGGGAGGCCGAGAGCCGGGUGGGUCCCCUUCGGCUGUGGGGGUCUUUUGUGUAGAAAACAGAGAAAAAAAAUGGAUGUUAAAAAGGAGAUGUGUUGCAGUGGGGCAGGUCAGGAGUCCACAGCUCAGUCCCUGGGCCCAGAUCGAAGGUACCAACAAGCCAGACCUCCUCGACGGCCCUGCUCCAGCAGCAGGGAGCGAGGCUCGGGCUGGGGCACAGUGUGGGGAAGCCCCGGCGCCCACGUCCCCCCGUCCACCCCAGCCCCUCCUCGGCCUCUGGAUCCUCGCCCCACUGCUUUGUUUCUUUGUGGGAUAAUGUUAACAUAGGCCUGCAGGAUUCAUUCUGGCACGCAAAGUCCUGGAAUAGCUUUGGCAAAAGGUGCUAAAUAUGUGAAAUUUCCAGCCGUGCCUUUACACAUCCUCCUCCUCUGUGCAGUUCGGUGGUCCCGAGCCCCCCGGCAGGAAGGUAAUGCUGCAUGUGGAGGCCCAAACAAACGGUCCAUGGCGUGAGGCUGGUGGUGCUUUAGAUGGAUGCCGAGGCCGUGAUCCCCUGCGUGUCACCUUCUCUGUGUGUGGCACAACACAGGAUCGGGACGAGCUCCCUUCACCUCCCUCAAGCGCAAACCACCCUGUAGCAGGCUUCCCUGAACACGGGGAUUGAAAACUGCCUGAGUCAACCUGCACAAAUCCCCUUUGAGGGAGAGAGCAGCUGUCUGUUAGGGCUGAUACGGUUAAUAUUAUGUUCAAACGAACCAUCUGGCCGCACUUGAAUUAUUUUUUAUGCUAGCUUAUAGCGUUAUACAGUGGAUAACUGCUUCUAACCAUUUCACUUCCCGGUGUAGACUGAUUCUCAGCGUGCAAUGCAAAACACCGCGUUUCCCUGUGAGGAAAACUUCCCUGUGGGAAAAUAGCUGCGAAAUUACCUGUGAAUAUUCAUCCUCCCAAUAAACCCGAGGAGGAAAAACCCUAGCAAAGAUAUUCCUCCUUUAUAUACAUUCCUCCUUUAUAUGCAUCCUCCUGUAUAUACACCCCUGAGCUAACCCCCGUGCGUGUUUUACACCCAGCUCCUCCAGCGUGUUAGAAAUCUGGGAGAUGGAAUUUGACCAAAAACCGCUCCUUUCCCCCUGCAGCACGUGCUGGAAUCCCACCUUUAUAUUAUUCACGCGUUCAAAGGAAUAAAAUUAAAUAAAACGAGCCAAAAAACGA